RNAcentral lists this ribosomal RNA (468 nucleotides) under uncultured bacterium. Its description in RNAcentral is "partial 16S ribosomal RNA". It matches the Rfam family "Bacterial small subunit ribosomal RNA", at positions 28 to 507 of the family's 1533-position model. The record is from RNAcentral.
GACGAACGCUGGCGGCGUGCUUAACACAUGCAAGUCGAACGGAAAGGCCCUGCUCUUGUUGGUCUCUCGAGUGGCGCACGCGUGUGUAACACGUGAGUAACCUGUACUUGUCUUUCGGAUAACUUCACGAAACUGGGGCUAAUAUCCGAUAGGAGCUACUGCUGCACGGUGGGGGUUGGAAAGUUUCGGCGGUUGGGGAUGGACUCGCGGCUUAUCAGCUUGUUGGUGGGGUAGUGGCUUACCAAGGCUGUGACGGGUAGCCGGCCUGAGAGGGUGAACGGCGACCAUGGGACUGAGGUACGGCGCAGAAGCCUACGGGAGGCAGCGGGGGGAAGCAUUACGCAGUGGGGGGAAGCGUGAGACAGCAACGCCGCGUGCGGGAUAACGGGCUUCGGGGUGUAAACCACUGUCGAAGUAAACGUGGCCGGAGUGACGGUAAUGGGUAAAAAAGCACCGGCUAACUACGUG